RNAcentral lists this ribosomal RNA (466 nucleotides) under uncultured bacterium. RNAcentral describes it as "partial 16S ribosomal RNA". It matches the Rfam family "Bacterial small subunit ribosomal RNA", at positions 28 to 507 of the family's 1533-position model. The record is from RNAcentral.
GACGAACGCUGGCGGCGUGCUUAACACAUGCAAGUCGUGCGGUAAGGCCCUUUCCGGGGUACACGAGCGGCGAACGGGUGCGUAACACGUACGCAACCUGCCCUUCACUUUGGGACAACUGCCGCUACCGGUGGCUAAUACCGGUUAUGACUUCCCUACUCAUGUGGGUUGGUGGAUAGCCUUCGGGGGUUGGGGGAUGGGCUAUCGGUGUAUCCGCUAGUCGGUGGGGUGAUGGCAUACUAAGGCCUCGCCGGGUCACCGGCCCGAGAGGGUGACCGGCCACCAGGGUACUGAGAGAGGGCCCAGUCGCCUACGGGAGGCAGCGGGGGGGAGUAUUGGGCAAUGGGGGAAAGCCUGAGCCAGAAGCGCCGCGUGAGGGAUGACGGCCUUCGGGUUGUAAACCACUGUCGCCGGCGACAAAGCGGGAGUGACGGUAGCAGGUAAAGAAGCACCGGCCAACUACGUG